GAUGAAGAACGUAGUGAAAUGCGAUACGUAAUGUGAAUUGCAGAAUUCAGUGAAUCAUCGAGUCUUUGAACGCACAUUGCGCCCCCUGGUAUUCCGGGGGGCAUGCCUGUCCGAGCGUCAUUGCUGCCCUCAAGCACGGCUUGUGUGUUGGGCCUCCGUCCUCCUCCCGGGGGACGGGCCCGAAAGGCAGCGGCGGCACCGCGUCCGGUCCUCGAGCGUAUGGGGCUUCGUCACCCGCUCUUGUAGGCCCGGCCGGCGCUUGCCGACACAUCAAUCUUUUUUCCAGGUUGACCUCGGAUUAGGUAGGGAUACCCGCUGAACUUAAGCAUAUCAAUAAGCGGAGGA
RNAcentral lists this unclassified non-coding RNA (345 nucleotides) under soil metagenome. RNAcentral describes it as "partial contains 5.8S ribosomal RNA, internal transcribed spacer 2, and large subunit ribosomal RNA". The stretch from base 1 to 120 matches the Rfam family "5.8S ribosomal RNA", at positions 35 to 154 of the family's 154-position model. The record is from RNAcentral.